This 348-nucleotide long non-coding RNA is filed under the name Phoenix dactylifera (date palm). Its description in RNAcentral is "long non-coding RNA (PDAC_LNC010269)". Lineage: Eukaryota; Viridiplantae; Streptophyta; Magnoliopsida; Arecales; Arecaceae. The record is from RNAcentral.
GGAGCUCCACUAUGCCCUGCCAUGGCUGUACCCAGCGCUGCCCCACGACGCCCUGUAACGGCCAUGUCAGUGGCAGCCCCAUCGUGCCACACGAUGACGAAUCCCCGGAAAAACCUCCCAGCCUGAUAUAUAUGAGGCUGGGGGGGAAGGGGGAGGGUAAGAUAUAUCUUCCAGAGUAUCAUCUCACCUGCUACCUUCUCCUUCUCCUUCUCCUUCGAUCUCCUCUGACUUGAUCGUCGGAGGGCCCCCACUACCCCGGUGGUGGUGCGAGGCUUGCUUGCAGGUUUCACGGCGGAGGGCGGAGCGCAACCAAAGCAACUCAAAGGGAACUCCGUUCACACCGCUGUG